This 27994-nucleotide long non-coding RNA is filed under the name Hordeum vulgare. RNAcentral's name for it is "long non-coding RNA (HVUL_LNC013252)". The record is from RNAcentral. Lineage: Eukaryota; Viridiplantae; Streptophyta; Magnoliopsida; Poales; Poaceae.
GACGGAGCCCGGGUUCUUGAUGUCCUGCCACCGCCGGAUCUCGACGUAGUGGAAGAGGAUGAACUCGAUGACGAAGAGCGUGGAGGAGGAGGCGAAGUAGGUCUCCUUGCCGGCGUCGUACCACUCGGGCGCGUUCAGCAGCCCCGCCUUGGUCAGCACCUCCGGGAUCAGCAUCCCCGCCACCCCCAGCAUCGCCCACCGCCCGUUCACCAGCUCCGCCUGCACGAACCACCGCAGGUCCUCCGGGUCCUCCGCCAGCGCCAGCGGGUCAAAACCAUUGUCACCCGCCAGACUGCACACGUAUCGUCCGUCAGUACGGUCGUAAACAUAUGUAACAGCUGCGUGCAUGGGCACGACGGAAGUGGUGUGGCGUGUCGUGUGGUCUGCUCACCUGCCGUCGAGGUAGGCAGGGGACUGGAGGCCGGGGAGCCAGGACCCCUUGGCCUGGACGGCGACGUCGCGGCGGGUGGACUUGGCGAGCCCGACGCGGCCGGAGUCGCCCAGGAACCGGGGGCUCGACGCUGACGCCGCCGGCCGGAGAGCGGCCACGGGAGCGCGGGCACUGACCGACGACAUCUUCUGCUACUCCUGACUAGAGAGCGCGUACGGCAGGAGAGUGAGAGUGCGCGCGUGUGUGUGUGGUGGUUCUGCCUCUCCGCACCUGCGCUUGGCCCUUUGUAUUGGGCUGCGCUUCGGUGAUUUGUGGGUGUGGUGAGCUGGGCCCCGGAGGUCGAGAUGGACGGCGUGUGUUGGCGCCACCGCGUCGUCCGACGGCUGCGAUGCGUUUGCGCCUGGAGACUGGAUAGAUGGACCAGUGGGAGACCGGGAGGCGUAUGUGCGUUAUCUGGAUGAUGGAUAAUGCGGAAUCAAAAGGGGGAUCGCUAUUGGUCGGGGAAACGCACGUUCGGUUUACCUGGCUGCCACGUCGAUCGGACGAUCCGUCAUGAUGUACAGCUGUACAUGGUGCCAUGGCGGGUUGGUCUGUUUGCUUCAACUUUCGAGCUCUUCCACGGGAAACCGGCUUUCGCCCUAGAAAUGGCACGGAUGGUCGAACGGAUACAAGGUGAUGGAAAGAACCCCAUAGAAGGCGGUCGCGGCGAGCCGUCACGAUCCCGUAAUCGAACAAGAAAAUAAGAGUCGCCACACCUAACAUGAGGCGACCUAGACUAUUGAAUCGGAACUCAACCGUGCCGCCUAGGAAAAUCAUAGACCAUUAUGCAUAAAACACAUCAAGUUAUCGCCGGAGAAAGUAAGUGUCGAUCCAAUCCGUGGAGUUCCAAUCCUGCGAGCAGAUAGCGAGGACCAAUGACAUUGACUACGAGGACACGUGUAAAUGAUAGGGGAUCAACGGAUCCACUCCACGACGAAGCCGAAGGCACCGAUGUGCUGUAACUGGAUGAUAUUUGUGUUCCCCGACAAUGCCCCGAGGAGGGUAAUGAUGUAGAGCGUUGAUACGUCUCCAACGUAUUUAUGGUGUUUUUAUUGUGUCAUGCUAUUAUAUUAUCAAUUUCGGAUGCUUUAUAUGCUAUUUUAUAUCAUUUUUAAGAACUAACCUAUUAACCGAGUGUCCAGUGUCAGUUCCUAUUUUUUGCGUGUUUUGACUUCUCAGAAAAUCAAUAACAAACGAAGUUCAAACAUGAUGAAACUUUAUGAUGAUUCUUUCUGGACCAAAAAGGGACCCCUAGAAGGUUCGGGAGGAGGCCAGAAGACGUAGGGAGAGCCACAAGCUCACAGGGUGCGCCCCCCCCCCCCCGGGGGNNNNNNNNNNNNNNNNNNNNNNNNNNNNNNNNNNNNNNNNNNNNNNNNNNNNNNNNNNNNNNNNNNNNNNNNNNNNNNNNNNNNNNNNNNNNNNNNNNNNGACGUCUAACUUGUUUUUGCAGGGUAUGAUUGUGAUGUGAUAUGGCCAAUGAUGUGAUGUGAUAUAUUGGAUGUAUGAGAUGAUCAUGUUGUAAUAGAAAUAUCGACUUGCACGUCGAUGGUACGGCAACCGGCAGGAGCCAUAGGGUUGUCUUUAUACUAACGUUUGUGCUUGCAGAUGCGUUUACUAUUUUGCUAGGAUGUAGCUUUAGUAGUAAUAGCAUAAGUAGCACGACAACCCCGAUGUCAACAUGUUGAUGGAUGAUCAUGGUGUGGCGCCGGUGACAAGAAGAUCGUGCCGGUGCUUUGGUGAUGGAGAUCAAGNNNNNNNNNNCUUGCAGAUGCGUUUACUAUAUUGCUAGGACGUAGCUUUAGUAGUAAUAGCAUGCGUAGCACGACAACCCCGAUGGCGACACGUUGAUGGAGAUCAUGAUGAUGGAGAUCAUGGUGUGACGCCGGUGACAAGAAGAUCGUGCCGGUGCUUUGGUGAUGGAGAUCAAGAAGCACGUGAUGAUGGCCAUAUCAUGUCACUUAUGAAUUGCAUGUGAUGUUAAUCCUUUUUGCACCUUAUCUUUCUUAGAACGACGGUAGCAUUAUGAGGUGAUCUCUCACUAAAAUUUCAAGACGAAAUUGUGUUCUCCCCGACUGUGCACCGUUGCGACAGUUCUUCGUUUCGAGACACCAGGUGAUGAUCGGGUGUGAUAGACUCAACGUUCACAUACAACGGGUGCAANNNNNNNNNNUGAAAUUGUGUUCUCCCCGACUGUGCACCGUUGCUACAGUUCGUCAUUUCGAGACACCACGUGAUGAUCGGUGUGAUAGACUCAACGUUCACAUACGACGGGUGCAAAACAGUUGCGCACGCGGAACACUCGGGUUAAGCUUGACGAGCCUAGCAUGUGCAGACAUGGCCUCGGAACACAUGAGACCGAAAGGUCGAUCAUGAAUCAUAUAGAUGAUGUGAUUAGCAUAGGGAUGCUUACCACUGAAACUAUACUCAACUCACGUGAUGAUCGGACUUGAGAUAGUGUAGGUGGAUCAUGAACCACUCAAAUGACUAGAGAGAUGUAAUUUUUGAGUGGGAGUUUAGCAGAUAAUUUGAUUAAGUUGAACUCUAAUUAUCUUCAACAUAGUCUAAGUCCACUUUGAAUAUAUUUGUGUUGUAGAUCAUGGCUGACGCAAGUGUCAUCCUGAAUUUUAAUACGUUCCUAGAGAAAGCUAAGUUGAAAGAUGAUGGAAGCAACUUUGUAGACUGGGCUCGUAAUCUUAAGCUAAUCUUACAAGCUGGGAAGAAGGAUUAUGUCCUUGAUGCUGCGCUAGGAGAUGAACCACCCGCUACGGCUGAUCAGGAUGUUAAGAACGCUUGGUUAGCGCGUAAGGAGGACUACUCAAUAGUUCAAUGUGCAGUCUUGUAUGGCUUAGAACCGGGACUUCAACGUCGCUUUGAGCGUCAUGGAGCAUUUGAGAUGUUCCAGGUGUUGAAGUUUAUCUUUCAGAAGAACGCCUGGAUCGAGAGGUAUGAGACCUCCGAUAAAUUCUAUGCUUGCAAGAUGGAGGAAAACUCGUCUGUCAGUGAACAUGUGCUCAAAAUGUCUGGGUACUCAAACCGUCUAGCUGAGCAGGGGAUUGAACUCCCGCAAGAGGCUAUCACUGACAGAAUCCUUCAAUCACUGCCACCAAGCUACAAAGGCUUUGUGUUGAACUACAACAUGCAAGGGAUGAACAAGUCACCCGGCGAGUUGUUUGCGAUGUUGAAAGUCGCAGAGUCUGAACUCCGUAAAGAGCAUCAAGUGUUGAUGGUGAAUAAGACCACUAGUUUCAAGAGAAACGGCAAAGGCAAGAAGGGUAAUUCAAAGAAGAGACUUGCCGGUAAACGAGAUUGAAAUAGGUAUGCGGAUACUGACGAUCGAAUCUCGGGCAAGUAACAUACCGAAGGACAAAGGGAAUGACAUACGGGAUUAUANNNNNNNNNNNNNNNNNNNNNNNNNNNNNNNNNNNNNNNNNNNNNNNNNNNNNNNNNNNNNNNNNNNNNNNNNNNNNNNNNNNNNNNNNNNNNNNNNNNNUGUGUGUGUGUGUGUGUGCACACUUGUGAUAGUGCAAGUGAUGUGUGUAUGUGUUUAUGUGGCUUAGUUGAAAAGUGGCUCAUGUGAUCUUGCUAGUGUGUUUGGGUGUGUAGUACUUGCAAAGUAUGUGCAUUGUGGAAUAGGUGAGAUGUGUGUGUUGAGGUGAUGUGUGUGUAAGUAGUGCACACAUAUGUGGUACCUAGCAGGAGUGUAUGUAUGUGUGGAUCCAUGUUUACUUGCAUAGCAGUUGUUCCUUCAUGUUGUGCUUGAGAUUAAGUGCUUGUGAUGAGGGUAUUGUGAUGAUAUGUGUGUGGUGAUAACAGCCCCAUUUUCAACACUUGUGCACCUCCUCAUGUUCAUAUGAGAGAGGACAUGAUGUGUGUGUGUGUGAGGGUGAUCUAGUGAAAGUUGUGCUAGUGGUGUUGANNNNNNNNNNGCAACACUUGUGCACCUCCUCAUGUUGAUAUGAGAGAGGGCAUGAUGUGUGUGUGUGAGGGUGAUCUAGUGAAAGUUGUGCUAGUGGUGUUGAUAUGCAUAACACAUACAUGGGGUUCAAACCCCCAUGUCACUUUUUCAUUGUGCACAUGAGCUCAACCUUUGUAGUUGUUGACUUAGUAGGAACUACAUGAAAUGAUGCCCAUUCCCUAGGCAUGAUUUGGAGUAGUUUCCUCUCCCUUAUUUUGUGGUCACUUGUUCCAAGUAAGUGCCCACAUAUUAUAUAUGAUUUUGGGGUAGAAUCUCCCAAGGAAUCCAGUGGUGAAGUUAGUUUUUCCAUUACGAUACUUUAUGGAGUUGACAUAUUCAGAUUUGUUGCAAGUUUGAUCUUUGAUUCCAUGGAAUAGGUGGAGCCCAAGGGCANNNNNNNNNNGCCAUUAGGAUAAUUUCUGGAGUUGACAUAUUCAGAUUUAUUGCAAGUUUGAUCUUUGAUUCCAUGGAAUAGGUGGAGCCCAAGGGCAUGAGUUUUUGUGUGAUAGUAGUAGGGUUUUGCUCUACACCAUAGUGGUGUCAUAUAUCACUUGGUGUUACUUGUGUGCAAACUAUGCCUAGACAAAGUGGGCAUGUGGUUGAAAAUUCCAGUUUAGUGAAAUCUGGAAUUUCACUAAGUCUGGGAUUCUGGAAACAUUUUCUUCUCUUAUAGAUGAGGAUGUGCUGGUCAUUGUGUUGAGAUCUAGCCUUAGUUCAGUGCUAGGAUUUUGGACCUGAUAUGUUUUUUAAGUUCCCUGUCAAAUUUCAAAUCAUUUGGAGUCUAGUAGGUUGUGUUUUGAUUGCUGUCAAAAAGCUUCAGAACAAAGACAGNNNNNNNNNNAUAGCCUUAGUUCAGUGCUAGGAUUUUGGACCUGAUAUGUUUGUGAUGCUUCCUGUCAAAUUUCAAAUCAUUUCGAGUCCAGUAGGUUGUGUUUUGAUUGCUGUCAAAAAGCUUCAGAACAAAGACAGAAAUUCAGGUGCAGGAAUUUUCACCAAGUCCCUGAGAUCUGAUGGUUUUGGGGAAGUUUGUGGCCUUGUAUAUUAAUUCCUUUUGCUGUGAUUCUUGCUGGUGCUUGUAGGGUUCUUAGUGGGCUACAGCCACAUAUAUUAUUUGACAUAUUUGGUGGCCUGUAGCUAUGUUGCAUGUAGCUCACAAAGUGCUAAGAUGCAGUUUAUGGCAGAUUAUGUAGUUUUGUCAUUUCUAUGAUUGUGUGUGCUUAGUGGAUGUGGUGGUGCUCUUACUUGCUCCAAUCCAUUCAUGUGGGAGUGGUACAUGUCUUGGCAACCUGNNNNNNNNNNUAUGCAGUUUAUGGCAGAUUAUGUAGUUUUGUCAUUUUGAUGAUUGUGUGUGCUUAGUGGAUGUGGUGGUGCUCUUCCUUGCUCCAAUCCAUUCAUGUGGGAGUGGUACAUGUCUUGGCAACCUGGGAAUACCAGAUUUGUGCCAAUUGUGAGUGUGGUGUUGAUUCUUACACGUAGAGCUUCAUAUCUUGUUUCGUUGAUUCCCGUUGAACCGUAGCUCCGUUCGCAAUGUUCUUUAUAUGUUUUUGCAUAGUUUUCACGAGACGCAUCUCUUCAUGCCAUUCUCAUGCAUGUAAAAAUAUCCUAGUUUACAGUUCUGUCCAGAAACUUAUAGUAGUUCUUUUGCUUGUGCUAGUGAUAGAAAUAGUGAUGCAUGCUCAUUUUUCANNNNNNNNNNACAAUGUUCUUUAUAUGUUUUUGCAUCGUUUUCACGAGACGCAUCUCUUCAUGCCAUUCUCAUGCAUGUCGAAAUAGCCUAGUGUAAAGUUCUGUCCAGAAACUUAUAGUAGUUCCUUUUGCUUGUGCUAGUGAUAGAAAUAGUGAUGCAUGCUCAUUUUUCAUCUCAUGCAUCAUGUGAUUGUUGCAUCUUGUNNNNNNNNNNNNNNNNNNNNNNNNNNNNNNNNNNNNNNNNNNNNNNNNNNNNNNNNNNNNNNNNNNNNNNNNNNNNNNNNNNNNNNNNNNNNNNNNNNNNGAACAACAUUCGGUAACCAACCAUAUAACUCAAAUACGCAUAAAACAAUGUCGAACCUUAAGUGUGCAGACCCUACGGGUUCAGGAACUAUGUAGACAUCACCCGAGAGACUCCUCGGUCAAUAUCCAAUAGCGGGACCUGGAUGCCCAUAUUGGAUCCUACAUAUUCUACGAAGAUUUUAUCGUUUGAACAUCAGUGCCAAGGAUUCAUAUAAUCCCGUAUGUCAUUCCCUUUGUCCUUCGGUAUGUUACUUGCCCGAGAUUCGAUCAUCAGUAUCCGCAUACCUAUUUCAAUCUCAUUUGCCGGCAAGUCUCUUUACUCGUUCCGUAAUACAAGAUCCGCAACUUACACUAAGUCACAUUACUUGCAAGGCUUGUGUAUGAUGUUGUAUUACCGAGUGGGCCCCGAGAUACCUCUCCGUCACACGGAGUGACAAAUCCCAGUCUCGAUCCAUACUAACUCAACUAACACCUUCGGAGAUACCUGUAGAGCAUCUUUAUAGUCACCCAGUUACNNNNNNNNNNNNNNNNNNNNNNNNNNNNNNNNNNNNNNNNNNNNNNNNNNNNNNNNNNNNNNNNNNNNNNNNNNNNNNNNNNNNNNNNNNNNNNNNNNNNGUAGACCGAUAAUUUCUGCAUCUACUACUAUUACUCCACACGUCGACCGCUAUCCAGCAUGCAUCUAGUGUUUUGAGUUCAUGACGAACAGAGUAACGCCUUAAGAAAGAUGACAUGAUGUAGAGGGAUAAUCUCAAACCAAUGAUGAAAACCCCAUCUUUUUACCCUUGAUGGCAACAACACGAUACGUGCCUCGCUACCCCUUCUAUCACUUGGUGAGGUCACCGCACGGUAUGAACCCAAAACCAAGCAAUUCUCCCAUUGCAAGAAUCAUAGAUCUAGUUGGCCAAACAAAACCCACAACUCGAAGUGAAUUACAAGGAUAUGCAAUCAUGCAUAAGAGAGAUCAGAAGAAACUCAAAUAAGAUUCAUAGAUAAUCUGAUCAUAAAUCCACAAUUCAUCGGAUCUCGACAAACACACCGCAAAAGAAGAUUACAUCGGAUAGAUCUCCAUGAAGAUCAUGGAGAACUUUGUAUUGAAGAUCCAAGAGAGAGAAGAAGCCAUCUAGCUACUAGCUAUGGACCCGUAGGUCUGUGGUGAACUACUCACGCAUCAUCGGAGAGGUCAUGGUGUUGAUGAAGAAGCCCUCCGUAUCCGAAUCCCCCCUCGGUAGGGCACCAGAAUGUGCCCCAGAUGGGAUCUUGCGGAGACAGAAGCUUGCGGCGGCGGAAAAGUACUUUUGAUGAUCUCCUGAUUUUUUCUGGGAUUUUAGGUAAUUUAUAGGCGAAAGACCUAGGGAAGAGGUGGCCCAGGGAGCCCACAAGCCUGGGAGGCGCGGGCCCCCCUGGCCGCGGCUAGGGGGCUUGUGGGGUCCCUGCUGCCCCCCUGCCCAGAUUCUCAGGCUUCUUGAUCUUCUUAUAUUUCGGAAAAAAUCUUUUUGGCAGUUUCGUUCCGUUUGGACUCCGUUUAAAAUCCUCCUCUGAAAAGGGUCAAAAACAUGGAAAAAACAGGAACUGGCACUUGUCACUGAGUUAAUAAGUUAGUCCCAAAAAAUAUAUAAAAGGCAUACAAAACAUCCAAAGUUUGACAAGAUAAUAGCAUGAAACCAUCAAAAAUUAUAGAUACGUUGGAGAUGUAUUAACCUACGAGGUUUGUAGUAACUUGAUCCGAAGCUCUAAUGAUCACUAUCAUCAGCUUCCACUUCAAUUGGUGUAGGCGUCACAGGAACAACUUCCUGCGCCCUGCUACACACUGGUUGAAGUGACGGUUCAAUAACCUCAUCAAGUUCCACCAGUCUCCCACCCAAUUCUUUGGAGAGAAACCUUUCCUCGAGAAAGGAUCCGUUUCUAGAAACAAACACUUUGCUUCCGGAUCUGAGAUAGGAGAUGUAUCCAACUGUUUUGGAUAUCCUAUGAAGAUGCAUUUAUCCGCUUUGGGAUCGAGCUUAUUAGACUGAAACCUUUUCACAUAAGCAUCGCAACCCCAAACUUUCAAGAAACGACAGCUUAGGUUUCUCUAAACCAUAGUCUAUGGCGUGUCAUCUCAACGGAAGUAUGCGGUGCCCUAUUUAAAGUGAAUGUGGUUGUCUCUAAUGCAUAACCCAUAAACGAUAGUGGUAAUUCGAUAAGAGACAUCAUAGUAUGCACCAUAUCAUAAUAGGGUGUGGCUAUGACGUUCACACACAUCAUCACACUAUGGUGUUCCAGGUGGCAUGAACUGCGAAACAAUUUUCACAUUGUCUUAACUGCGUACCAAAAACUCGCAACUCAGAUAUUCAUCUCUAUGAUCAUAUCGUAGACAGUUUAUCCACUUGUCACAACGAUCUUCACUCUGAAAUAGCUUUGAACUUUUCAAUAUUUCAGACUUGUGAUUCAUCAAGUAAAUACUCGUGUAUCUACUCAAAUCGUCAGUGAAGUAAGAACAUAACGAUAUCCACUGCGUGCCUCAGCACUCAUUGGACUGCACACAUCAAAAAUGUAUUACUCCCAACAAGUUACUCUCUUGUUUCAUGUAGCAUGAUCUGCAUGUCUCAAGUGAUUCAAAAUCAAGUGAGCCCAAACGGUCCAUCCGCAUGGAGUUUCUUCAUGCGUUUAUACCAACAAGUAUGGUUUGCAUGUUUCAAUCGUUUCAAAAAAUGAGUGAGUACAAAGAUCCAUCAGCAUGGAGCUUCUUCAUGCAUUUUAUACCAACAUGACUCAAGUGGCAGUGCUACAACUAAGUGGUACUAUCAUUAUAACUUUGUAUCUUUUGGCACCAAUAUUAUGAACAUGUGUAACACUAUGAUCGAGAUUCAAUAAACCAUUGAGGGUAAUUAUUCAAGCAAAUAGAAUAACUAUUAUUCUCUUUAAUUGAAUAAUUGUAUUGCAAUGAACACGAUCCAAUCAUGUUCAUGAUUAACGCAAUCACCAAAUAACAAUUAUUUAAGUUUUACCACCAAUCUGGAUGAUAGAGGGAGCGUGCGAUGUUUGAUCACAUCAACCUUGGAAACACUUCCAACACGUAUUGUCACCUCGCCUUUAGCUAGUCUCCGUUUAUACCGUAGCUUUCAUUUCGAGUUACUAAUCACUUAGCAACCGAACCGGUAUCGAAUACCCUCGUGCUACUAGGAGUAAAGUACACAUCAAUAUCAUGCAUAUCAAAUAUACUUCUGUCGACUUUGCCAGCCUUCUUAUCUACCAAGUAUCUAGGGUAGCUCCGCCUCACUGACCGUUCCCCUCAUAACAGAAGCACUCAGUCUCGGGUUUGGGUUCAAUUUUGGGUUUCUUCAUUAGAGCAGCAACUUGUUUGCCGUUUCAUGAAGUAUCCCUUCAAGCCCUUACCCUUCUUGAAACUAGUGGUUUUACUAAGCAUCAACAAUUGAUGCUCCUUCUUGAUUUCUACUUUCACAGUGUCAAACAUUGCAAAUCACUCAAGGAUCAUCAUAUCUAUCCUUGAUUUGUUUAUAGUUCAUCACGAAGCUCUAGCAGCUUAGUCGCAGUGACUUUGGAGAACCAUCACUAUCUCAUCUGGAAGAUUAACUCCCACUUGAUUCAAGCGAUUGUUGUACUGAGACAAUCUGAGAACAUGCUCAACGAUUUGAGCUUUUCUCCUUUACUUUGUAGGCAAAGAAUCUUGUCGGAGGUCUUAUAUCUCUCAACAAGGGCACGAGCAUGAAAUCUCAAUUUCAUCUCUUUGAACAUCUCUUAUGUUCUGCGAUGUUUUCAAAACGUCUUCAGUGCCUUGCUUCUAAGCCAUUAAGUAUUGCGCACUGAACUAUUAUGUAGUCAUCAAAGACGUGUAUGUCAGAUGUUUGCAGCAUCCACAAACAACACCUGAGGUGCAGCACACCAAGUGGUGCAUUAAGGACAUAAGACUUCUGCGCAACAAUGAGGACAAUACUCAGUUUUACGGACUGAGUCCGCAAAGUUGCUACUAUCAACUUUGAACUAAAUUUUCUCUAGGAACAUAUAAAAACAGUAGAGCUAUAGCGCAAGCUACAUCGUAAUUUGCAAAUACCAUUGGACUAUGUUCAUGAUAAUUAGUUCAAUUAAUCAUAUUACUUAAGAACUCCCACUCAAAAAGUACAUCUCUCUAGUCAUUUGAGUGGUACAUGAUCCGAAUCCACUAUCUCAAGUCCGAUCAUCACGUGAGUCGAGAAUAGUUUCAGUGGCAAGCAUCUCUAUGCUAAUCAUAUCAACUAUACGAUUCAUGCUCGACCUUUCGGUCUCUUGUGUUCCGGGGCCAUGUCUGCACAUGCUAGGCUCGUCAAGUUUUACCCGAGUGUUCCGCGUGUGCAACUGUUUUGCACCCGUUGUAUGUGAACGUUGAGUCUAUCACACCCGAUCAUCACGUGGUGUCUCGAAUCAACAAACUGUAGCAACGGUGCAGAGUCGGGGAGAACACAAUUUCGUCUUGAAAUUUUAGUGAGAGAUCACCACAUAAUGCUAUCGUCGUUCUAAGCAAAAUAAGGUGCAUAAAAGGAUUAACAUCACAUGCAAUUCAUAAGUGAAUGAUAUGGCCAUCAUCACGUGCUUCUUUAUCUCCAUCACCAAAGCAUCGACAUGAUCUUCUUGUCACCGGUGCCACACCAUGAUCUCCAUCAACGUGUCGCCAUCGGGGUUGUCGUGCUACUUAUGCUAUUACUACUAAAGCUACGUCCUAGCAAUAUACUAAACGCAUCUGCAAACACAAACGUUAGUUUAAAGACAACCCUAUGGCUCCUGCGGGUUGCCGUACCAUCGACGUGCAAGUCGAUAUUAACUAUUACAACAUGAUCAUCUCAUACAUCCAAUAUAUCACAUCACGUCAUUGGCCAUAUCAUAUCACAAGCAUAUCCUUCGAAAACAAGUUAGACGUCCUCUAAUUGUUGUUGAAUGUUUUACGUGGUUUCAAUGGGUAUCUAGUAGAUCGCAUCUUACUUACGCAAAAACCACAACGCAGAUGUGCAAAUUGCUAUUUAUCCUCUCCAGGGACCGCCUCGGUCAAAACCAAUUCAACUAAAGUUGAAGAAACCGACACCCGCCAGUCAUCUUUAUGCAACGAGGUUGCAUGUCAAUCGAUGAAACUAGUCUUUUGUAAGCAUACGAAUAAUGUCGGUCCGGGCCGCUUCAAUCCAAAAAUACCGCCAAAUUGAGAAAAGACUCAGGAGGGCAGCAAAUCGAACAUCACCGUCCAGAAAACCCUUUGUGUUCUACUCGAGAUUACAUCUACGCAUGAACCUAGCUCAUGAUGCCUAUGUUGGGGAACGUCGCAUGGGAAACAAAAAAUUUCCUACGCGCACGAAGACCUACCGUGGUGAUGUCCAUCUACGAGAGGAGAUUUGGAUCUACGUACCCUUAAAGAUCGCACAGCAGGAAGCGUUAAGAAACGCGGUUGAUGUAGUGGAACGUCCUCACGUCCCUCGAUCCGCCCCNNNNNNNNNNUCCGUCCCACGAUCCGCUCCGAUCUAGUGCCGAACGGACGGCACCUCCAUGUUCAGCACACGUACAGCUCGACGAUGAUCUCGGCCUUCUUGAUCCAGAAAGUAAGACGAAGAAGUAGAUGAGUUCUCCGGCAGCGUGAAGGCGCUUCGGUGGUGGUUGCUACGACAACAAAAGUUCUUCCCCGGCAAUGGCGCCAGAAAUCCUUCUUGCUACUUCUCAAACAACAACGCCAAAAUUGACACGUUGACGGAGACUUGCUUGCGUCGGUUUUUGCCUUGAAGAGGAAAGGGUGAUGCAGCACAGGAGCAGUAAGUAUUUCCCUCAGUUUGAGAACCAAGGUAUCAAUCCAGUAGGAGAAUCUCGUCAAGUCCAGAGUACCUCCACAAACAUAAAGAUCUUGCACCCAAUGCUAUAAAGGGGUUGUCAAUCCCUUCAAGAUUGAUUGCAAAGUGAGAUUUGAAGGCGGAAAGUGCAACGAAGUAAAAUUGUAAGGCUAAAAAUAUGGUGUGGAGUAGACCCCGGGGCCAUAGUGUUCACUAGAGGCUUCUCUCAAAAUAGCAAAUAUUACAGUGGGUGAACAAAUUACUGUCGAGAAAUUGAUAGAACCGCGCAAAGUCAUGACGAUAUCUAAGGCAAUGAUCAUACAUAUAGGCAUCACGUCCGAGACAACUAGACCGAUACUUUCUGCAUCUACUACUAUUACUCCACACAUCGACCGCUAUCCAGCAUGCAUCUAGUGUAUUGAGUUCAUGACGAACAGAGUAACGCCUUAAGCAAGAUGACAUGAUGUAGAGGGAUAAUCUCAAACCAAUGAUGAGAACCCCAUCUUUUUACCCUCGAUGGCAACAACACGAUGCGUGCCUCGCUACCCCUUCUGUCACUGGGUGAGGUCACCACACGGUAUGAACCCAAAACCAAGCACUUCUCCCAUUGCAAGAAUCAUCGAUCUAGUUGGCCAAACAAAACCCACAACUCGAAGAGAAUUACAAGGAUAUGAAAUCAUGCAUAAGAGAGAUCGGAAGAAACUCAAAUAAGACUCAUAGAUAAUCUGAUCAUAAAUCCACAAUUGAUCGAAUGUCGACAAACACACCGCAAAAGAAGAUUACAUCGGAUAGAUCUCCAUGANNNNNNNNNNNNNNNNNNNNNNNNNNNNNNNNNNNNNNNNNNNNNNNNNNNNNNNNNNNNNNNNNNNNNNNNNNNNNNNNNNNNNNNNNNNNNNNNNNNNNNNNNNNNNNNNNNNNNNNNNNNNNNNNNNNNNNNNNNNNNNNNNAUACUAGCUAUGGACCCGUAGGUCUAUGGUGAACUACUCACGCAUCAUCGGAGAGGUCAUGGUGUUGCUGAAGAAGCCCUCUGUAUCCGAAUCCCCCCUCCGACAGGGCACCGGAACGUGCCCCAGAUGGGAUCUUGUAGAGACAGAAGCUUGCGGCGGCGGAAAAGUACUUUCGAUGAUCUCCUGAUUUUUUUCUGGGAUUUUAGGGAAUUUAUAGGCGAAAGUCCUAGGGCAGAGCUGGCCCAAGGAGCCCACAAGCCUGGGAGGCGCGGGCCCCCUGGUCGCGGCUAGGGGGCUUGUGGGGUCCCUGCAGCCCCCCUGCCCUGAUUCUCAGGUUUCCCGAUCUUCUUCUGUUUCAGAAAAAAUCUUUUUGACAGUUUCAUUCCGUUUGGACUCCGUUUAAAAUCCUCCUUUGAAAGGGGUCAAAAACAUGGGGAAAUAGGAACUGGCACUGAGUUAAUAAGUUAGUCCCAAAAAGUAUAUAAAAGGCAUGCAAAACAUCCAAAGUUUGACAAGAUAAUAGCAUGAAACCAUAAAAAUUAUAGAUACAUUGGAUACGUAUCAAGCAUCCCCAAGCUUAACUCCUGCUCGUCCUAAAGUAGGGAAGUGAUAAAGAAUUAAAUUUUGAUGUGGAAUGCUACCUAGCAUAGUUGUCCUUUGCAACUUCUUUCAUGUGACAUGAGUGUUCAGAUCCGUGAGAUUGAAAACAAUAGUUUGCUAUUGACAUGAAAACAAUAAUACUUCAAGCAAACUAGCAAGGUAAUCAUGAACUUUAAAAAUAACAAGGCCAAGGAAAGUUAUCCCUACAAAAUUAUAUAGUCUGGCUAUGCUCCAUCAUCCUCACACAACUAAUGUAAAUCAUGCACAACCCCGGUAUUGGCCAAGAAAUAGUUUUCGCACUCUUACUUUCUCAAACUUUUUAUAACUAUCAUGCAAUACAUGAGCGUGAGCCAUGGAUAUAGCACUAUAAUUGGAAUAGAGUGUGGUGGUGGUUGUGAGACAAAAAGGAGAAGAUGGUCACAUUGACUCUGCGUAUCAAAGGGCUAUGGAGAUACCCAUUAAUAGAUAUCAAUGUGAAUGAGUAGGGAUUGCCAUACAAAGGAUGCACUAGAGCUAUAAGUAUGUGAAAGCUCAAAAGGAAAACUAGUGGGUGUGCAUCCAACUUGCUUUCUCACGAAGACCUAGGGCAAUUUUGAGGAAACCCAUCAUUGGAAUAUACAAGCCAAGUUAUAUAGUGAAGAUUCCAACUAGCAUAUGGUGGUGACGAAACGAGAGGCUCUCAAUCAUGAAGAACAUGGUGCUAUUAUGAAGCACAAGUGUGGAAAAAGAUAGUAGCAUUGUCCCUUCUCUCUUUUCUCUCUUCUUCUUUUUUAUUUGGGCUCUUAGGCCUCUUUUUCUCUUUUUUUGGGCUCUUUGGCCUCUUUUUUUAUUUUAUUUCCUCACAUGGGACAAUGCUCUAAUAAUGAUGAUCAUCACACUUUUAUUUACUCACAGCUCAAAGCUUAGAAAUGACUUCUAUAGGAAAUGCCUCCGGCAGUGUACCGGGAUGUGCAACGAUCUAGCUUGGCGUAUGACGUUGAAACAUAUCGCUAGCUAUCUUGCGAUCAUGCAAUGGAAAUAUGAGAGUGACGGCACAAGUCAUGAGACGGAACGGUGGGAGUUGCAUGUCAAUAUAUCUCGGAAUGGCUACGAAAAUGCCAUAGUAGGUAGAUAUGGUGGUUGUUUUGAGGAAGGCAUUUGGUGGGUUUGUGUACCGGCGAGAAUUGCACGGCACUAGAGAGGCUAGCAAUGGUGAAAGGUGGAAGUGCAUCUAUACCAUGGACUCACAUUAGUCAUGAAGAACUCACAUACAUGUUGCGAAAUUUUUUAUUAGUAAUCGAAACAAAGUGCUAAACGCAUACUCCUAGGGGAAGGGUUGGUAGGUGUUAACCAUCGCACGAACCCGACCUCAACACAAAGGAUGACAAUCAAUAGAUCAAUUAUGCUUCGACUUCCUAACAUAGCGGUUCACCAUACGUGCAUGCUACGGGAAUCACUAACUUUAACACAAGUAUUUCUAGAUUCACAAUACCCUACUAACAUAACUCUUAAUAUUACCAAAUCCACGCCUCCAAACUAAUUGAGAGGAAUCAAAACUUCUCUUUCUACUCAAUGCACAUGAAUAUGGAGGUUUUUGUAUCCUCUUUGGGUACCUAUCACCUUUGGGACUACUUUCAUAGCAUAAGCCAACUACCAAAUCACGCACCGCCGUGCUCUAACAGAUCUAAGUGAAGCACAUAUAGCAAAAUUGUCUAGCUGAAAAGAUAUAAGUGAAGCACAAUGAGCAUUCUAGCAAAAUCACGGUGAGUUCAUGUCUAUCUCUAAAGGUGUGCAUCAAGGAUGAUUGUGACACAACAAAAAGAAAAUAAUCCUAAGAUACAAGACACUCCAAGCAAAACACAUAUCAUGUGGUGAAUAAAAAUAUAGCUCCAAGUAAUGUUACCGAUGGAUUGAAGACGAAAGAGGGGAUGCCUUCCCGGGGCAUNNNNNNNNNNNNNNNNNNNNNNNNNNNNNNNNNNNNNNNNNNNNNNNNNNNNNNNNNNNNNNNNNNNNNNNNNNNNNNNNNNNNNNNNNNNNNNNNNNNNGGAUGCCUUUGCGGCCUGUGUUCGUUUAUGAUGGACUAGUUGGAGCACCCCUGCAGGGUUUAAUCUUUCAGAAAGCCGUGCCCACGGUUAUGUGGCAACUUGGAAUAUUUUGUUAACAUCCGGUAUUAGAGAACUUGAACAUAAGCUAAUAAAAUUGCCAACUGUGUGCGUAUCCGUGUCUGUCCCCUCGAAGAUCCCUCUUCGAUCGGGAACACGGUGGGGUUAUGAAUGCCGUAGGUAGGUGGUCAGGAUCACUUAGUGAUCAAGUAUUCCCGACCGCUAGUGUAGACCACCUUCACAAUUACUUCGCGUAAGUUAGCCACUUAAUCAAGCUUAGGAUGCUGCAGCCUUAUACACUUCACCCUUACCCUACCUAAUAACAUGACUAGUUCUGGCACCAAGGUCUUAGAUUGCUGAGUCCCCGUGGCUCACGGAUUCCUCCGAAACUCCCAGCAGGUACAGGUACCCCAGAUAUAGAUGAUCCCGACGGCACCCAGCUGGCGUGGCAGUACGACGAGGAGACAGACCGCCUCUACGUGACCUAUCCAGGGGACUGAGGCGUGGUCGUGAUCGUGGGCCUGCAGGCAGGGUAGCAUAGCAUUUCCAUGUUUUGUAGUCCGUAGCGGAACUACNNNNNNNNNNNNNNNNNNNNNNNNNNNNNNNNNNNNNNNNNNNNNNNNNNNNNNNNNNNNNNNNNNNNNNNNNNNNNNNNNNNNNNNNNNNNNNNNNNNNAAAAAAAAGAGCAGGUGGGAAAAGGGGGAAGGACUCCUCCUUCCAAACCUAAUUGGACUCGGUUUGGAAGGGGAGGGUUGCCCCCCUUGGCUCGGCCGCCCCCUUGGGAGUCCUUGGACCCCAAGGCAAGGCUCCCCCUCCUCCCCCUAUAUAUACGCAGGUUUUAGGGCUGAUUUGAGACAACUUUGCCACGACAGCCCGACCACAUAUCUCCACGGUUUCACCUCUAGAUCGCGUUUCUGCGGAGCUCGGGCGGAGCCCUGUGAGAUAAGAUCACCACCAACCUCCGUAGCUCCGUCACGCUGGCGGAGAACUCAUCUACCUCUCCAUCACUCUUGCUGGAUCNNNNNNNNNNAGUUUCACCUCUAGAUCGCGUUUCUGCGGAGCUCGGGCGGAGCCCUGCUGAGAUAAGAUCACCACCAACCUCCGGAGCGCCAUCACGCUGGCGGAGAACUCAUCUACCUCUCCAUCACUCUUGCUGGAUCAAGAAGGCCGAGAUCAUCGUCGAGCUGUACGUGUGCUGAACGCGGAGGUGCCGUCCGUUCGGCACUAGAUCGUGGGACUGAUCGCGGGACGGUUCGCGGGGCGGAUCGAGGGACAUGAGGACGUUCCACUACAUCAACUGUGUUCACUAAUGCUUCUGCUGUGCGGUCUACAAGGGUACCUAGAUCGAACAUCCCCUCUCGUAGAUGGACAUCACCAUGAUAGGUCUUCGUGCGCGUAGGAAAUUUUUUGUUUCCCACGCGACGUUCCCCAACAGUGGCACCAUGAGCUAGGUUCAUGCGUAGAUGUCUUCUCGAGUAGAACACAAAAGUUUUUGUGGGCGGUGAUGUGCGUUUUGCUGCCCUCCUUAGUCUUUUCUUGAUUCCGCGGUAUUGUUGGAUUGAAGCGGCUUGGACCGACAUUACUCGUACGCUUACGAGAGACUGGUUUCAUCGUUACGAGUAACCCCCUUUGCUCAAAGAUGACUGGCAAGUGACGGUUUCUCCAACUUUAGUUGAAUCNNNNNNNNNNNNNNNNNNNNNNNNNNNNNNNNNNNNNNNNNNNNNNNNNNNNNNNNNNNNNNNNNNNNNNNNNNNNNNNNNNNNNNNNNNNNNNNNNNNNUGGGAUCUUGUAUUACGGAACGAGUAAAGAGACUUGCUGGUAAACGAGAUUGAAAUAGGUAUGCGGAUACUGACGAUUGAAUCUCGGGCAAGUAACGUACCGAAGGACAAAGGGAAUGACAUACGGGAUUAUACGAAUCCUUGGCACUGAGGUUCAAACGAUAAGACCUUCGUAGAAUAUGUAGGAUCCAAUAUGGGCAUCCAGGUCCCGCUGUUGGAUAUUGACCGAGGAGUCUCUCGGGUCAUGUCUACAUAGUUCUCGNNNNNNNNNNNNNNNNNNNNNNNNNNNNNNNNNNNNNNNNNNNNNNNNNNNNNNNNNNNNNNNNNNNNNNNNNNNNNNNNNNNNNNUGGGUCAUGUCUACAUAGUUCUCGAACCCGCAGGGUCUACACACUUAAGGUUCGACGUUGUUUUAUGCGUAUUAGAGUUAUAUGGUUGGUUACCGAAUGUUGUUCGGAGUCCCGGAUGAGAUCACGGACGUCACGAGGGUUUCCGGAAUGGUCCGGAAACGAAGAUUGAUAUAUAGGAUGACCUCAUUUGAUUACCGGAAGGUUUUCGGAGUAACCGGGAAUGUACCGGGAAUGACGAAUGGGUUCCGAAGUUCACCGGGGGGGCAACCCACCCCGGGGAAGCCCAUAGGCCUUGAGGGAGGCACACCAGCCCUUAGUGGGCUGGUGGGACAGCCCAAAAGAGCCCUAUGCGCCAUAGAGAUAAAAAUCAAAGAGAAAGAAAAAAAAAGGGAGGUGGGAAGGAAGGGAAGGACUCCCUCCCACCAAACCAAGUCCAACUCGGUUUCGGGGGGGAGUCUUCCCCCCUUGGACUCGGCCGACCCCCUUGGGGCUCCUUGAGCCCCAAGGCAAGGUCCCCUCCCUCCCACCUAUAUAUACGGAGGUUUUAGGGCUGAUUUGAGACGACUUUUCCACGGCAGCCCGACCACAUACCUCCACGGUUUUUCCUCUAGAUCGCGUUUCUGCGGANNNNNNNNNNGGCGGAGCCCUGCUGAGACAAGAUCAUCACCAACCUCCGGAGCGCCGUCACGCUGCCGGAGAACUCUUCUACCUCUCUGUCUCUCUUGCUGGACCAAGAAGGCCGAGAUCAUCGUCGAGCUGUACGUGUGCUGAACGCGGAGGUGCCGUCCGUUCGGUACUAGAUCGUGGGACUGAUCGCGGGAUUGUUCGCGGGGCGGAUCGAGGGACGUGAGGACGUUCCACUACAUCAANNNNNNNNNNNNNNNNNNNNNNNNNNNNNNNNNNNNNNNNNNNNNNNNNNNNNNNNNNNNNNNNNNNNNNNNNNNNNNNNNNNNNNNNNNNNNNNNNNNNCGGACCGUCGCCGUUGCACGUCGAACGACGCGGAACGCCGCCGCUCGCUCCGUCCACCGGUCGCCUCCCUCCGUCCUCGGAACCAGGCGCCGCCGCCGUCCUCCGAACCCGACCGAGGCCGGCGCCGGCCGGCGCCCACUCGACCCCCGAGAACCACGUCCAGGGUCGACCUCCGAGGCGCCACUUGGCCGCGGGCAGGCUGCGCUGGCUCCGGGCUCCGGGCGCGGGGGCGGGCGAGCGGCUGCUAGGCGGAGGACGAAGAGGAGGAGGAGGAAGACUUGACGAGGGCGGAGAGCCAGACGACGACGACGUUGAUGGAGAUGGUCACGUACGGCCUAGCGUCCACGGAGAAGUUGAAGCUGAAGUAGGACGCUCCCGGCGCCGAGGAAGAUGCCGCCAUCUCCAUGUCCAUGGUCUCUGUCUGUGGUAUGCCUGUCUCCUCUGCUCUUGCUGCCUUGGUGCUUCUUGCUUGCCUCUGGGAUGAGAGUUGUCGCUGGUCGCUGCGUGCUGGAUGCUAUUUGCAGAGCACGAAGGCUUGGCAUAUAUAGCUUGGUAGCCUCGCGAUAAGGCGCGAAACAAGUUGGAAGCGGGAUCGKACCCGUUGCGACUUGGGAAGAAGGAAAGCCGGGAGCGAAGAAGGUUCCCGGAAGCGGGGAGGCGUGGUGGAAACGCCGGACCAGACCGAGCGGUCGCCGGUUCGUGGCUUGUGAAAGUGAUGGAGCUGUCGUGCGCGCGCGCGCGGGGGUGUUUUUCAGCGGGUUUCGAGGGAGCUUCGCGGCGUGGAAACAUGCGCACCGGCGACCUGACCGUCCUGCUUUCUCGUGUUCUCGGUUGGGGUUGGCGUUGGAAUUCCACGCAGCCUCUCUCUCUCCUAUUUUAGUGGGCACGUCGCUCUCGUUUCGUCUGUGGUGCAGCCGCUCGUCUGCUACUCUUUCCGUUGUCGGGUUUCCUCCUGGUUGAUUUUCUUUUUGCGACUGAAUUCUGAUUUGAUUUUGAUAGAUAUAUGUGCGGUGGUGGACUGGUCGCAGGGAGCUGGGGGUGGUAUACGGCGACCGGUGUGAAGGAAGGUUGGUGAGUUGGCUGGCGAGCGCUUGACCAGAUUUCGUGGUGGACUCGACCAAACCAAACCAAACAGUGGCGUAGGUCUUUGCGCCAGCGGGCGUGAGGGAAUGCUUGCUCGUGCCCCCACCACCGGGUCGUCUCCGAUGACUGAGGUGUUUACACGCGACAGAGGUGCUAAUUAUGUGUGCUGCCGGCUGCAUAUAGAUCGAUAUACGCUAAAUGGAAACAUGACAACAAAACGUACGUUUGCCCGCACAAACCUUCCUGGACGGCAUGUUUGUCUCACGCUACUUUUCAUCCUUUGUUUUACAAAUUUGAAAUCUGAAGCUACAUUUCUUUUAAACACGAUAUAGAUGCAAGAGCUCAUAUAUAAGAGCAACUCUAGCAUACCCCGCAUCCCGUCGGCCCGUAAAACGCGUUUGCAGGUCGCGCAAAACAGCUUUUGCAGGCUGGCGUGGGCUGGCACAGAUGCGGACCCACCAAACGGAUCCGUAAAAAAAUAUAGUCGCGAAAUAUUCCUUUUUACGGGUCGGCUUUGCGGGAUCUGCUCUUUGCACCGCUGCUUCCCACGUAUCAUUAGCCCGCAAAUAUCAAAUACUCCCUCUGUAAGUUAAUAUAAGAGCAUUUAGACUACUAAAGUAGUGUUCUAAAUGCUCUUAUAUUAGUUUACGGGGACAUAAUUCAACAGCCGAAAACAAACUGAAUUAUUCGAAUCAAACACAAUACAAUAAUCAUCCGCAUUACAAACAAUUAUUCAAAACAUGUCAUGAAUACAAAUACAAAUGAAUACAAAAAUAAGUCACUGUCCAGCCAUUUGCCAAUGGUGUUCAAUGAGAUCUUUCUGAAGUUGAAAGUGGGUGUGUGGGUUUUCAAUCUCCUUGUCUGUCUGAAGAAAAGCUCUAAUGCGGUUUGGGUCUCUAGCUGGUUUAACACGGCUACCCACAUUGUCGUAAAAGAAUUCUAAGUUCCCAAGAUUCCUCGCAAGCUUGAACAAUUUUCACAAAGAGGGAUCGACGCAUUCCUUCUUUGAGUAAAUUACCGGCAAUUUUCCUCGCAAGCUUGAACAAUUUUCACAAAGAGGGAUCGGCGCAUUCGGUACCUUCUCCGGAAGAGGUGUGGAGGAUAUGUAGGAUGUUGGGGAACGUCGCAUGGAAAACAAAUUUUUUCCUACGCGCACAAAGACCUAUCAUGGUGAUGUCCAUCUACGAGGGGGAUUUCAGAUCUACGUACCCUUGUAGAUCGCACAGCAGAAGCGUUAAUAAACGCGGUUGAUGUAGUGGAACGUCCUCACGUCCCUCGAUCCGCCCCGCGAACCGUCCCACGAACCGUCCCGCGAUCUGUCCCACGAUCCGCUCCGAUCUAGUGCCGAACGGACGGCACCUCCGCGUUCAGCACACGUACAGCUCGACGAUGAUCUCGGCCUUCUUGAUCCAGCAAGAGAGACAGAGAGGUAGAUGAGUUCUCCGGCAGCAUGACGGCACUCCGAAGGUUUGUGGUGAUCUAAUCUCAGCAGGGCUCCGCGCGAGCUCCGCAGAAACGCGAUCUAGAGGAAAAACCGUGGAGGUAUGUGGUCGGACUGCCGUGGAAAAGUUAUCCCAAAUCAGCCCUAAAACCGCCGUAUAUAUAGGUGGGAGGGGAGGGGCCUUGCCUUGGGGCUCAAGGAGCCCCAAGGGGUUCGGCCGAAGGGGGGAGGAGGAGUCCUCCUCCAAUCCUAGUCCAACUAGGAUUGGAAGGUGGAGUCCUUCCCUUCCUUCCCACUUCCACUUUUUUCUCUUUGAUUUUCUUAUCUCCCUGCGCAGGGGCCUCUCUGGGCUUGCCCACCAACCCACUAAGGGCCGGUGCGGCACCACUAAGGCCUAUGGUCUUCCCCGGGGUGGGCUCGNNNNNNNNNNNNNNNNNNNNNNNNNNNNNNNNNNNNNNNNNNNNNNNNNNNNNNNNNNNNNNNNNNNNNNNNNNNNNNNNNNNNNNNNNNNNNNNNNNNNCUAAAAAAAGGGUUACUUUUAGUUUUGUAAAACAAAUUUUUAGGUAAUGUUACCUUUUCUAUAAUUUUUACUGAAAUUACUAAAACAAUAAUUACAGUUUUUCUAAAAAAAAUAGUUUUGAAAUUUUGAAAAAAUUAGGUUUAACUUUUUCAUUUUUUUAAGGUAGUUUUAMAAAWARUUACCAAAUUWCARWAAHAAUUUAAAAAAAAUAAAAAAAAUAAAAACAAAGAACAAAAAGGGUAAAAGGGAAAGAAAAUAAAAGAAAGAAAAAAACAAACAAAAAAUCUAAAAAAGAUAAAAUACCAAAAACGUAGAAGAAACAGGAGGAACCUUCUAGGAGAAAAAACGACUGAGAAACUAUAGAAGGUUCCCCAAACCGGAAUGGUGCAACUUGUUAAUAGUCGGCCCAGGUGAUUACCAUAAAAUGGACACAAUUUUAAUUGUAGAUGUAACUAAUUCACAAAAUGAAUCGUGCAUGAAAAUUCACAUGCAUAUCUUCUUUGUGUGGCGCCCGGUUGUACAUCGUGUAGCAUUUGAUCUACAGGCGCUACACCUCUGAUAAGCGUGGCAUCCGAGGUUAUAAUUCUGAUUGUAUGAUGUUUAAAUGAAAGGAGUCACUCUACAUUAUAUGACACCCGCUGAAAGAAGCCACAUUAUUUUAUAUUAAAAUUGAUGUAACUUUUAAUCCUUGCAUCCGAUGAAAAUAUGUUUUAUAUGAAUAUUGUGUAUUUUUCUGUGUUCUACGCAAUGGUGUCAUUUCCAUCGAUGUUAAGAUCAAUUUUCUUGAUGAAAUCUCUGUUGCAAAAAUGCGUCAUAAUAUAAUUGAUCGGAUUUGUUAAGACUUACAAAGUUGACAUGAUGGUAGCCACUGACUUAUAGCUUUUAUGCAUUUGCAUUCUACAUGAGUUUUACCCUAUAUAAUGUGUAUGUUCACGUCAUGUUCAUGCUUGUCAUGUUAGUCAUCUUUAAUAUGUUCAUGUCUUGCAUCUAAGUGACUAACAUGAUAUAUUUUUUGUAAACAAUCUUAUGAAGCUUUAUUUAACUGAAAUCAAUGUUUACAGAAAUAAAUGCAGGAUCAUCGGGUUGCUUAACCACACAUGGUCGCCAACCCCUAGUCUGGUAACAUGCUUCGUUAUGGAUGGGCCAGUUCCAAACACAGUAGGCCCACUUCCACCUCGUAGCCGGGCUUAGUCAGGUCAGUCGUCCAUUGUAGGAUUUUCUUCCACCUGGUCUUCGCACCUCUGAGACGGGGAGAUGCGGAGGCCGUCGGCUUCGUCGCCUCCGGCGAGGGGACCGGCGUUGGCUGCAGCAGCCGCUGUCGUUCUCCUCCCGGCUAUUUUCCCCGCGCUGUUCUCCCCGCUCGGCCGCGCCUUCCCUUCCCUAUUCUCGGUGCGUCCCCUAUAGUCGCCAUCCUCCUCUCCAGGCGGCUCGAUUUGAGCCGGUGUAGCGUCAUAUUGGCGAUCUUCCGCUUCUCUAGCUGCUUCCUACGCCUCUCCUUGCUAGUUCGCCACUUUGCCGAGUCCGAUUGUUUGGGGUGGGCGAAAAUUGGAUAUAAUCUAGAGGGAUUGGUACUUUUGGGGGGAGGAAUGUAUGUGGAAGGUGAAAUGAUGUGGUGAAUUCGUGGCUUUGUCCCCUCUUGAAUUGGAACUAGUACGAAAUUACAUUUGUUUAUUUGGUGUAUAUGUAUGUCGAUGCAGAGUAACCUGUAAAUAAGCAAAGUGUGCAACCUGUAAAUAAGCGAAGUUUGCAAGAUCUGGAUUCUUUUGAUGGACAGCAUCAUGCCAGUUGCAUCGGAUAUUUUGGUUUGGACAGUGGUCUCCAAUGUGUGAUUACGAGUAGAUUUUUUUGUAUGCAUUUCGGGGCAGUGUGGGACGCUGGGACUGUACUCGGCUACCAUGAGCCAUGACAGUAUUGGGAAUAACAUGUGUACUGGAUUACUCUACUAUGGCUGUGAAGAUAGAUUGGCUACUGAUGUGGACCUUAGUAAAUAUUUCUGCAGACUGCAAUAUUGUCUUUUUAAGAUUAAUCAUGUGGACAGCGUGUAUACUGCAGGAGUGGAAUGCCCCUAAGCCAAUGCACGAGUCUCUUUUCAAUGAGUCUUUGCGAUGGACAAUAGUGAGUAUUCACAACUCAGAUAAAUACUGGAAAUAGUUAUGUUGAAGUCUAUUUGUAACUUACUCUCUGUACAGCCAGAUGAACAAAAAAGAGAUCUCUGGACACCCUUGCCUGAUCAGGGGUGGAAACCAUGCAUAAGGUCAUCGAUCACUCGUGGUAACAUUCUGUGAUAAAUCUGUUUAGGUAAUGAUAUGCCUCCCGCUGCGAUAGAUCACUAAGCAUUUGGUUAUAUGAAGUGUAGGGUUACCUUCACAACCCAGUGGGUACAUACAAGUAUUUCUUGAUGGUGGCCUGAACCAGCAGAGAAUGGGGGUAACUCACUUCUUAUGUACCAAACUCAUGAUGUUAGAUUUAAUAUAACUUGCUUGGUUGAAACUUCAGAUCAUCUGGCUCUUUCUUUUUGUUCUCUAGAUAUGUGAUGCAGUUGCGGUUGCUAAGAUUUUGAACGCUACUCUUGUGAUCCCACAUCUUGAAGUAAACCCUGUUUGGAAAGACUCAAGGUGCUUUUGGAGUUUCAGAGUACUACUGUAUCUUGUUAAUUUUAAAUACUCCUGUUAGAUUGGAAGUGAAAGGUUUAGUUUGGUCUGCAGCUCAUUUGGAGAUAUUUUUAAUGUGGAUCACUUCAUCAACACCCUAAGAGGCGAUGUUUCAAUAGUGAGAGCUCCAUUAAAAGAAUUUUCGUGGAGCACAAGAGAGUUCUAUAGCACAGGAAUACGUGCUACAAGAAUAAAAACUGCACCUCUUCAUGCCUCGGCUAAUUGGUAUAUAGAGAAUGUCAGUCCUAUCCUGCAAAGGUUUGUGAUUUUCUUGGCCAUAUAGUCGCUUCUCUAGACCCCUUGAGUAAGUGGCAUAAUAAUGCUAAGAAACUGCAGUUCAUGUUUAGCCCAGGUUGAUGGCCACUGAACUGGCUUUAUAGUAUUAACAUGACAACUCGUUGUCUAACUUCAUUAGUUGGUUACUCUGUGAGGGGAAUCCUUCACCGAAAAUCUCAUGCAAGCGUUGUUUCCCUUGUCAGCUAUGGCAUUGCUGCCAUUGCCCCCUUUUCUCACCGCCUUGCAUUCGAUGAUUUGCCUGUGGAUAUUCAACGCCUGCGCUGUAAAGUUAACUUUGAAGCCCUGGUUUUUGUGCCUUACAUUAUAUCACUGGGGAGGACCCUUGAGAAGCGCUUGAGAUCUCCAGUGCAGGGGCAUUCCACUGAAUUAACCCAACAAGUUGUAGAAGAUUACACAGAUCAGUCUGAAAAGUAUGCAGUUGUACAUCUCCGCUUCGAUAAGGUAAAUGGAAGGGCUUCUGCUAUAUUUGGAAGUCGUACGUGUAUAUUUUUGUUAUCUUCAAGGAAUUUCCACUCUGAAACAACUCAAGCUGACCUACAUUUUUCAGGAUAUGGCUGCACAUUCUGCCUGUGACUUUGGCGGUGGUAGAGCUGAAAAAUUAGCUCUGGCUAAGUACAGGCAAGUUAUCUGGCAAGGGAGGGUAUUAAAUUCACAGUUAAGUGAUGAGGAGCUUCGAAACACAGGACGCUGCCCGUUGACUCCAGAAGAGAUUGGAUUGAUACUAGUAGCGCUUGGCUUUGACAGCAAAACUCGAUUUUAUCUUGCCUCUCACAAGGUUUGACUCUCUGCCUCUGCCGGUGCGCUUACUUAUUCUCCGUAGUGGAAGCAGAAAUUUCUAACAUACGUCACCUAUUAAGGUAUAUGGAGGGGAAGCUAGGAUCUCUAGCUUGCGCAAGCUUUUCCCGCUGAUGGUAGACAAGAGGAGCCUUGCAUCGGCAGAUGAGCUUGCUAGUAUCGAAGGGAAGGCUUCUGUGCUAGCAGCUCUUGACUACCAUAUCAGCAUGCACAGCGAUGUUUUCAUCUCUGCUUCUCCUGGCAAUAUGCAUAAUGCACUGGUAAAUCCUGUUUGGCUUCAGCUGUAUUCGCUAGAUUUCUCCUCUUUCUUUAUUGGUCCUGACCAGAUGAUGGUUGAUUCAGCUGGCCCACCGGACCUAUAGGAAUCUGAAGACGAUAAGGCCAAACAUGACAUUGCUUGGCCACAUAUUUGUGAACAAGAGCAUGGAGUGGUCAGAGUUUCAGCAGGCUGUGCAGGCAGGCCACAAAGGUAGAUACGGGCAGAUCCGGCUGAGGAAGCCGAAGCAGUCUAUCUAUACUUAUCCUGCCCCAGAUUGUAUGUGCCCAGGGUAGAUCGCCAAGUUUUCUGCGGUGCACCGACAAAAGAAAUGUGCUGAGUUACUUGCAGUUUCUAAUUAGGUUAAGCUCAUGUGGAUAUGUAUAUUUAGUUCUGAAUUUUCGGUUGAAUCAGUUUGCUGCCACUUCCAAUAGGAUCUUAAAAUUUUAACCAAAAUUUACGCACUAUACGUUGAGCCUUGAAGGACUCUAAUCUUGUGCUGUUUGCACGAUCCAUACGACGAAGUUGUAGUUUUGGAGCUGAUGUUGUGUAUCUGUGACCUGACUUGAUAUACUGGAUCCUUUUUCUUCUUUUAUUCCGCUGUUCUACUUCUGGGAGUCCGGUGUUCUGAAUUUCUGCUUUGAUUUAGUAUUACUAUCGUCAUGGCGAAUUCGAUACUAAUGCUUCAAACUAGUAGUAUGUUUUGCCAUGUUUUAAAAUAACACGCAUGGGUGAUAUUACAAGUACAGCCUCCGUCGGAAGCCAUGGGCGAAUCCACAAGGACAAAGUUUCACCACCGGAACUUUAAGAUUACAACACGUUUUUGCACUGCCACCUACUCCUCCACACUUUGUACAUCCUCAGCACCCCAAAAUAAUAAUUCAGACCACCUGAAACCUCCUUGGUCGGUGAAAUCGACGGAUUUAUUGGCCGGAGAUGGUCUGGAUGAUGGUGUUGUGCCAUGGGUCGGCCAGGUGCUGCUGCAGGUUCUCGAACGGCCCCUUCCCGGUCACGUUGUGCUGCACCAGGAACCCCAGGAACGCCAGCAUGGCCAGUCUCCCUGAACGAAUGAACGCGCGCGCGAAUACAGAUUAACGAGAGCCGUCGGAUUAGAAACCCGAGGGUUCAGAUGAGACUGAAGAGAGGAUGGACGUACCGUUGGCGAGCUCCUUCUCCUUGUUCUCGAGGGUGGGGGCGAAGUUGAGGGGGUUGAAGACGCUGCCGGGGUAGCCGCACUCGUGGGGCGGGAGGCUGUAGCUCUUGAAGAUGGGGUCCUGGUUGACGGAGCCCGGGUUCUUGAUGUCCUGCCACCGCCGGAUCUCGACGUAGUGGAAGAGGAUGAACUCGAUGACGAAGAGCGUGGAGGAGGAGGCGAAGUAGGUCUCCUUGCCGGCGUCGUACCACUCGGGCGCGUUCAGCAGCCCCGCCUUGGUCAGCACCUCCGGGAUCAGCAUCCCCGCCACCCCCAGCAUCGCCCACCGCCCGUUCACCAGCUCCGCCUGCACGAACCACCGCAGGUCCUCCGGGUCCUCCGCCAGCGCCAGCGGGUCAAAACCAUUGUCACCCGCCAGACUGCACACGUAUCGUCCGUCAGUACGGUCGUAAACAUAUGUAACAGCUGCGUGCAUGGGCACGACGGAAGUGGUGUGGCGUGUCGUGUGGUCUGCUCACCUGCCGUCGAGGUAGGCAGGGGACUGGAGGCCGGGGAGCCAGGACCCCUUGGCCUGGACGGCGACGUCGCGGCGGGUGGACUUGGCGAGCCCGACGCGGCCGGAGUCGCCCAGGAACCGGGGGCUCGACGCUGACGCCGCCGGCCGGAGAGCGGCCACGGGAGCGCGGGCACUGACCGACGACAUCUUCUGCUACUCCUGACUAGAGAGCGCGUACGGCAGGAGAGUGAGAGUGCGCGCGUGUGUGUGUGGUGGUUCUGCCUCUCCGCACCUGCGCUUGGCCCUUUGUAUUGGGCUGCGCUUCGGUGAUUUGUGGGUGUGGUGAGCUGGGCCCCGGAGGUCGAGAUGGACGGCGUGUGUUGGCGCCACCGCGUCGUCCGACGGCUGCGAUGCGUUUGCGCCUG